Zeugodacus cucurbitae (melon fly) is the source of this 1779-nucleotide long non-coding RNA. RefSeq lists it as uncharacterized. The record is from RefSeq and is a predicted model, not a curated record. NCBI's taxonomy places the organism in Eukaryota, Metazoa, Arthropoda, Insecta, Diptera, Tephritidae. The transcript has 3 exons.
UCUAACAGUUAUUGGUCUAUUCGGUUGUAUACAUGUUAAAAAGUUUUUUUUUGGGCUAAUUAACAUAAAAAUUAUCAUACAUCUAUCUACCCAGAUAGUGGCUAUGUAAUAGGUCAAGUAGAUCAAAAAUAUUAGCAAUAGUAAAUAUUAAAGUAUUGUAACAGAUUUCCAAAAUCUGUCGUUGCUGAAACUCUACCCUGAGUUCGAUCACUGCCCCACAAGACGGAGCUAAAGCUGAAACGAAAUACAUAGCUCGCGAAUGCGAAUGCGAAAGCAUGCGCUCGACUGCGUUUAUUUCGAGCAACUACAUAAAUGCGCUUUUGAAUGCGUUGAAAGCUGUGUACAAUGUGAUACACAUACUCAAUUUUUAUUUGCGAGUUUGAAAACGAACUAAUUAACAUGGACAAGGAUAUUAAAUUUUUAGUGAUUUUUAUUAGCAGUGUUCAUAAAAUACCUUGAAUUAAGCAAAGAAAGGAAAAUUUAAACUGUCUACCUAGUUCAUUAAAAAUUCAUCACAACUUAUCUUUAAAAAUUAAAAACUAAUAAAUAUUAUAUUUCACAAAAAUACUUAUAUUUUAGCGAAGAAAACGGGCUUAAAUAAUUAAAACACGCAAGAUAGUAAGUAACAUAAUAUGGGUUGCUAUUCUCAAGAAUGUGAAGGUUGCUGUGUUAGCGCAUGAAAGUUGAAAAUUCGGAGAUUUGGUUGCGAAAACAUGCGAAAGCUAUGUAGCUCAUCUCAUAAGAACAUGUGUAUUCAACUCAACUGUCAAACGUUCGCAUUCGCAUUCGCGAGCUAUGUAGUUUAGCUCUAACUCAUACACCACUACACAUGCAAAGUUUUUCAGCUUUUACCAACACAUACGAAAUAGUAACUUUUUGUAGUUAAAUGGGACGCACACCUGGUGCGUACAUGCAAAACUAAAAAGAGAAGCAGAACAAGGAUUAUGCCACUUUAGGUAUAUGGAUAUUUGCAAACUUCGGAAGAAAAACUAAAGCUUAAGCUGGAUACCACCCAUAUACUCCCAUAUAGGAAGGUAGCUAUACUUGAUAUGGGUGCUGGGAAUCCUACCAUCAGUUUUUCAUGGCAUACAACGGCAAUCGCUCAUCAAUCGUACAAUACAAAUUCGAAUUAGAAUUCGACGUAUGGUUGAAGCAGCACUCGUAGUUCUUUGUGUUAGGGAGUAACAAAAAUCAUGCACCUACAAAUACAACGCAAAAUAUGCAUCAACAACAGGAAUUAUUGAAACGAAUUUAAUUGCAAAACAAACACAAAACAAUAAUUUUGAUAUUCUUAUUAUUUAACAGAAUUUGGUGGAUAAUCGCCACAUGGUGUAACAAGUGCUGCAGCAACAACAAGUAAUACACAUUCAAAUUCACAACAAAAGUCAAAAUCGCACAACGCAACCGGCAAUUACCAAGUCAUCGGAUGAUGUACAACAAAUUACAUCGGACUUUUGGAGUAGCAGUUUCACUACUUAUUUCCGACGUGCUAAACACAGAGCCUCCUAUAUUGCCCUUGGAUUAAUACAAUGGAUAGUUAACAUAAUAACAGAGCUCGAAAAACGCAGAUGUUGUUUAUCCUGAUUCUGAUUUGAUUAUGCUGAACUUACAAUUUAUCAUUUUCACUAUUAUGAUUGUUAAUUUAUAAAUUUUGAACGUUCGCAAAAGCACUCAAUUUAUUAAUCUAAAUAUGAAAUAUUGUUAAAUUAGCAUCUAUAUACAAAUGAAUGUACGAAUAUUUGUAACAAUCGUAAUAGUAGUGAAAUUUAAUUUGUAUUG